AGAGUUUGAUUAUGGCUCAGAACGAACGCUGGCGGCAGGCCUAACACAUGCAAGUCGAGCGCGCCCUUCGGGGUGAGCGGCGGACGGGUUAGUAACGCGUGGGAACGUACCCUUUGGUAGGGAAUAGCCACUGGAAACGGUGAGUAAUACCCUAUGAGCCCUUCGGGGGGAAAGAUUUAUCGCCAAAGGAUCGGCCCGCGUUAGAUUAGGUAGUUGGUGGGGUAAUGGCCUACCAAGCCUACGAUCUAUAGCUGGUUUUAGAGGAUGAUCAGCAACACUGGGACUGAGACACGGCCCAGACUCCUACGGGAGGCAGCAGUGGGGAAUCUUGGACAAUGGGGGCAACCCUGAUCCAGCCAUGCCGCGUGAGUGAAGAAGGCCUUAGGGUCGUAAAGCUCUUUCGCCUGUGAAGAUAAUGACGGUAGCAGGUAAAGAAACCCCGGCUAACUCCGUGCCAGCCGCCGC
Molecule: ribosomal RNA, 465 nt
Filed under: uncultured bacterium
Lineage: Bacteria
Description: bacterial SSU rRNA
Rfam family: Bacterial small subunit ribosomal RNA
Source: RNAcentral